GAUGAACGCUGGCGGCGUGCCUAAUACAUGCCAGUCGAGCGAACGGACGAGAAGCUUGCUUCUCUGAUGUUAGCGGCGGACGGGUGAGUAACACGUGGAUAACCUACCUAUAAGACUGGGAUAACUUCGGGAAACCGGAGCUAAUACCGGAUGAUAUUUUGAACCGCAUGGUUCAAAAGUGAAAGACGGUCUUGCUGUCCCUUAUAGAUGGAUCCGCGCUGCAUUAGCUAGUUGGUAAGGUAACGGCUUACCAAGGCAACGAUGCAUAGCCGACCUGAGAGGGUGAUCGGCCACACUGGAACUGAGACACGGUCCAGACUCCUACGGGAGGCAGCAGUAGGGAAUCUUCCGCAAUGGGCGAAAGCCUGACGGAGCAACGCCGCGUGAGUGAUGAAGGUCUUCGGAUCGUAAAACUCUGUUAUUAGGGAAGAACAUAUGUGUAAGUAACUGUGCACAUCUUGACGGUACCUAAUCAGAAAGCCACGGCUAACUACGUG
Molecule: ribosomal RNA, 497 nt
Filed under: uncultured bacterium
Lineage: Bacteria
Description: partial 16S ribosomal RNA
Rfam family: Bacterial small subunit ribosomal RNA
Source: RNAcentral